UAAUACGUAGGGUGCGAGCGUUAAUCGGAAUUACUGGGCGUAAAGCGUGCGCAGGCGGUUCUGCAAGUCAGAUGUGAAAUCCCCGGGCUCAACCUGGGAACUGCGUUUGAAACUACAGAGCUAGAGUACGGGAGAGGGAGGUAGAAUUCCACGUGUAGCAGUGAAAUGCGUAGAGAUGUGGAGGAAUACCAAUGGCGAAGGCAGCCUCCUGGCCUGAUACUGACGCUCAUGCACGAAAGCGUGGGGAGCAAACAGGAUUAGAUACCCUGGUAGUCCACGCCCUAAACGAUGUCAACUAGUUGUUGGUGGAGUAAAAUCCAUUAGUAACGCAGCUAACGCGUGAAGUUGACCGCCUGGGGAGUACGGUCGCAAGAUUA
This 377-nucleotide ribosomal RNA is filed under the name uncultured bacterium. Its description in RNAcentral is "bacterial SSU rRNA". It matches the Rfam family "Bacterial small subunit ribosomal RNA", at positions 521 to 896 of the family's 1533-position model. The record is from RNAcentral.